RNAcentral lists this ribosomal RNA (330 nucleotides) under uncultured bacterium. RNAcentral describes it as "bacterial SSU rRNA". It matches the Rfam family "Bacterial small subunit ribosomal RNA", at positions 568 to 898 of the family's 1533-position model. The record is from RNAcentral.
CGUGUAGGCGGGUCUUUAAGUCAGGGGUGAAAUGCCAAGGCUCAACCCUGGAACUGCCUUUGAUACUGGAGAUCUUGAGUCCGGGAGAGGUGAGUGGAACUGCGAGUGUAGAGGUGAAAUUCGUAGAUAUUCGCAAGAACACCAGUGGCGAAGGCGGCUCACUGGCCCGGAACUGACGCUGAGACGCGAAAGCGUGGGGAGCAAACAGGAUUAGAUACCCUGGUAGUCCACGCUGUAAACGAUGGAUGCUAGCCGUUGGGGAGCUUGCUCUUCAGUGGCGCCGCUAACGCAUUAAGCAUCCCGCCUGGGGAGUACGGUCGCAAGAUUAAA